GCAGAAGACUAGUUACACUUAAUGGGCCAA
This 30-nucleotide non-coding RNA is filed under the name Homo sapiens (human). The record is from RNAcentral. Lineage: Eukaryota; Metazoa; Chordata; Mammalia; Primates; Hominidae.